AUUGAACGCUGGCGGCAUGCCUUACACAUGCAAGUCGAACGGUAACAGGCCGCAAGGUGCUGACGAGUGGCGAACGGGUGAGUAAUGUAUCGGAACGUGCCCAGUCGUGGGGGAUAACUGCUCGAAAGAGCAGCUAAUACCGCAUACGACCUGAGGGUGAAAGCGGGGGAUCGCAAGACCUCGCGCGAUUGGAGCGGCCGAUAUCAGAUUAGGUAGUUGGUGGGGUAAAGGCCCACCAAGCCAACGAUCUGUAGCUGGUCUGAGAGGACGACCAGCCACACUGGGACUGAGACACGGCCCAGACUCCUACGGGAGGCAGCAGUGGGGAAUUUUGGACAAUGGACGCAAGUCUGAUCCAGCCAUGCCGCGUGCGGGAAGAAGGCCUCGG
This 388-nucleotide ribosomal RNA is filed under the name uncultured bacterium. RNAcentral describes it as "bacterial SSU rRNA". It matches the Rfam family "Bacterial small subunit ribosomal RNA", at positions 29 to 420 of the family's 1533-position model. The record is from RNAcentral.